RNAcentral lists this ribosomal RNA (479 nucleotides) under uncultured bacterium. RNAcentral's name for it is "partial 16S ribosomal RNA". It matches the Rfam family "Bacterial small subunit ribosomal RNA", at positions 28 to 507 of the family's 1533-position model. The record is from RNAcentral.
GAUGAACGCUAGCGGGAGGCCUAACACAUGCAAGCCGAGCGGUAGAGUUUCUUCGGAAACUUGAGAGCGGCGCACGGGUGCGUAACACGUGUGCAACCUACCUUUAUCUGGGGGAUAGCCUUUCGAAAGGAAGAUUAAUACCCCAUAAUAUAAUGAUUGGCAUCAAUUAUUAUUGAAAACUCCGGUGGAUAGAGAUGGGCACGCGCAAGAUUAGAUAGUUGGUGAGGUAACGGCUCACCAAGUCAAUGAUCUUUAGGGGUCCUGAGAGGGAGAUCCCCCACACUGGUACUGGGACACGGACCAGACUCCUACGGGAGGCAGCAGUGAGGAAUAUUGGACAAUGGGUGAGAGCCUGAUCCAGCCAUCCCGCGUGAAGGAUGACGGUCCUAUGGAUUGUAAACUUCUUUUGGACAGGGAUAAACCUACCCUCGUGAGGGUAGCUGAAGGUACUGUACGAAUAAGCACCGGCUAACUCCGUG